RNAcentral lists this ribosomal RNA (2793 nucleotides) under Triticum aestivum (bread wheat). RNAcentral describes it as "partial small subunit ribosomal RNA". The record is from RNAcentral. Lineage: Eukaryota; Viridiplantae; Streptophyta; Magnoliopsida; Poales; Poaceae.
AUGGCUCCUCCGUAUGGGAUGCUCUCCCCCGUUGUAGGACUUCUUGUGAAAGGAAUAUGGAAGCCCAUCAAGAAGCACUGCGGUGACUGCCUGAAGCCUGGAAACAAAAUUGAUGAUCUGGAAACAUCUUGGGAUGGUCUAAAAGUCCACGUAGAUACUAUUGCUGAGCAAAUACAAUUGGGUAAGAGACCGAGGGUUCAAACAACAAAAUGGAUAGAAAAUGCCCAAUCAAUGGCAGACAAAUCACACGCAAUCAUAAAUAAGUUCGAGGGAAGGAGCAAACAUAUGUUAGGUUGCUCUUGGAAUUGUUGGUUCAACUACGGGAUUGGUCGUGCUGCCAGAAAGAGCAAGAAAGAAGUUGACGAACUCAAGGAGGGAGCUCCCCAAGAUGAUCAUCUCUUCACUUUGCUCCCACCGGUUGGCAUAGAACUGCCUCUGCCACCUCAUAUCGUGGGGCAAAACGAGUAUAUGGAUAAGAUUGUUGGCUGCAUUGAAGAAGGUUCCACGCGCUUGGCUGGGAUAUGUGGCAUGGGAGGGGCAGGAAAAACUACUCUCCUCAAGCAAUUAAACAACACCUUUAGUUGCACUGCAGAAAUGCACACAUUCCAUCAUGUGAUCUAUGUGGAAAUUGGUCAGCAACCAAAUCUGCGUACAGUUCAGCAGAGCAUUGCAUCCCAGCUUGGGCUGACGCUUGGACAUGAGGAUAUGACGUCUAGAUCUGCAUCCCUCUACAACUUCCUGAAGGAAAGGAAGUUUUUAUUGUUGAUGGAUAACCUUUGGCAACCACUGGACCUAGAGAAGGUUGGGAUACCACAAGAGCACAUUCAAAACAGCCCACAAAAUAGGCAGAUGAUUGUAAUCACAUCACGAGAUCAACAAAUAUGCCGAAGAAUGCAAGCACAUAGUGAGGUGUUCAUGUUACAAAAGCUCAAGUUUGAAGAAGCGUGGAGUCUCUUCGAAGUGAAUGUGGGCUGCAGUAGACUAACCAACACCAAUGCACAAAUCAGAGCUUAUGCUGAGAGCAUUGUUCACAAGUGUGGAGGCCUUCCACUAGCACUUAAGAUAGUUGGCCAGGCUAUGGCAUCAAAAGAAAGUGAACAAGAGUGGGAAUUCGUUGUGAUGUUGCUUCAACGGUCUCAAUUCAAUCAAGUUCCAGAUGCAUAUGCAGAAAGUGACCUAUAUCAUGUACUGUACAUCAGUUAUGAGCAACUUCCAGAUACAAGGACAAAGCAAUGUUUCCUUUCCUUUACUCUAAAAGUAGAAGAUUAUGUAUAUGUGCCAUAUGCAAUACAUCUCUGGAUGGGACAUGGAUUACUUGAUGAGGAUAAUGAUAUGAGAACCAACGAUUUGAGAGGCCAUGCUGUUGUUGGAUGUCUAAAAAGAGCAUGUCUAUUAGAAGAACAUUCAAGAGGGAAAAAUUACCUAAGCAUGCAUGAUACAGUCAAAGGUCUGGCUCUUUGGAUCAUACAAAAUAAACAAGGAGAUGGACCUAGCAAGAAUUGGCUAGUACAUAAAGGAGAUAAAACCAUGAAAUUAGAAGACUGGUGCACUGCCCAUAGGAUUUCACUCCAUAACUUGAAGGAUGUGGUAAUCCCUAGUUCUGUCCCUUGGCGUUGGCUAUUAACUCUCAUACUCACAAGAAGCAAUAUUAUUGGCAAUGUUCCUACAGGCUUCUUUAAAACUGCUCCAUCUCUCACCUUCUUGGAUAUAAGUCGCACUAAUAUCCGGGAACUCCCAUCAGAUGUUGGAGAAUUAGUGAACUUGCAGCACCUUGAUCUUUCAAGCACUCCAAUCCAGUCGAUCCCAAUGGAGCUUCAACAUUUGAAAUGUUUGAGGUACCUAUAUUUAGGAUACACCUAUGAGCUGGUAACAAUCCCAAAUGGGACAAUAUCUGCUCUAACAACGUUGAGAGUCUUUGAUUUAUACUCUAGUGGGACCUUCCUAGAGGACACAACACAGGCAUGCAUUAAGGAGUUGGAGAGUUCGGCAUGGAUACAAUCAUUGGGGUUCACCGUUAGCGAUUCUAAUUCACUUCAAAGGAUACUCAACUAUUCUAAGGCCUCCUUGAAAUCCCUUUGUUUGAGAGAAGUGAAAGGCUUGCCACAUCUCCAUAUCGCACCUGGAUUUUUUAGCAAAACGAAGGUACAUGAACUCGAGAGGUUGACAUUGAAAGGUAUGGAGAGCUUAAAGGAGUUGUACAUAGGGGAUACGAUUGUGGAUUCAGAUUGGCACUUCGGGAAACUUGACAAACUAACAUUUUGGAACCUAAGAGAGUUGGAAGUUGUCGUAUGGAAAGGGGUGGUGCCUCAUGCUUGCUUCCCUAAACUUCAUGUGUUACUGAUCUCUGACUGCCACAACAUCAGGACAGUCUCAUGGAUCAAGCAGCUCCCAUGCCUAGGUGAGGUAUAUUUGAUUCACUGUGAUUCAAUGUUGGAGUUGGUAGCUGCAGCUGAAGGGGGAGGAAGCAUGUCAUCCGCUGCGGAUUCGUUUCCCCGGCUCAAGGUACUUGGACUGAGUGGUCUUGGGAACCUGCACAACAUAUGUGAUGGCACUCCUGUAUUCCCUUGUUUGAAGCGCUUGCUUGUGUACAAUUGUUCGAGGCUGGCCAAAUUGCCAUUCGGGUUAUACAAGGAAGAGUGUGUGCCGGUGAUACUAGGCAGACAAGACUGGUGGGAACAACUAGUCUGGGAGAAUAGUAGCACGGAAUCUACUUUAAACUCAUUCUUCAGGGAACUGCCGUCGAGUUUUCAAGGAAAUUUUGAAGAUGUUCGCAGGGCAUUAACUCGUUAUUAA